GCUUGCUUAAAGGGGCCGUAGCCGGUUUGAAAAAUCCUUUGUGAAAUUGUUGAACUCAAUACAACAGCAUGCAGGGGACACUUUCAGACUAGAGACUGGGAGGAGUUGGGGGUAUGCCUUGGGGAACGGUUAAAUGUGAUAAUCCAAGGUAGACCACCUGUGGCGAAGGCGCCCAACUAGAACAGUUUUGACGGUGAGGGAUGAAAGCUAGGGGAGCGAUCCGGAUUAGAUACCCGAGUAGUCCUAGCUGUAAACACUGCGAGCUAGGUGCCGCAUAUUCUACGAGAAUAUGCGGUGUCGAAACGAAGGUGAUAAGCUCGCCGCCUGGGAAGUACGGUCGCAAGACUGAAACUUAAAGGAAUUGGCGGGGGAAUACACCAGGAGUGCGGCGUGCGGUUUAAUCUAACUCAACGCAGAACACCUUACUAGAAGCGACGGCAGGAUGAAGGUCAGUCUGAAGGGCUUAUCUGACGAGCCGAGAGGUAGUGCAUGGCCGCCGUCAGCUCGUGUCGUAAGAUGUCCUGUUAAGUCAGGCAACGAGCAAGACCUGUACCUAUAAUUGCAAACGGGCCCUUCGGGGUGACUGUGCACAUUAUAGGGACUGCCUUCGUAAGGAGGAGGAAGGUGCAGGCAACGGUAGGUCCGCAUGCCCCUAAAAGCCGAAUUCCAGCAACUUUGC
RNAcentral lists this ribosomal RNA (679 nucleotides) under uncultured archaeon. RNAcentral describes it as "bacterial SSU rRNA". It matches the Rfam family "Archaeal small subunit ribosomal RNA", at positions 497 to 1184 of the family's 1478-position model. The record is from RNAcentral.